Molecule: ribosomal RNA, 271 nt
Filed under: uncultured prokaryote
Description: partial 16S ribosomal RNA
Rfam family: Bacterial small subunit ribosomal RNA
Source: RNAcentral
UACGUAGGUGGCGAGCGUUGUCCGGAUUUACUGGGCGUAAAGGGAGCGUAGGCGGACUUUUAAGUGAGAUGUGAAAUACCCGGGCUCAACUUGGGUGCUGCAUUUCAAACUGGAAGUCUAGAGUGCAGGAGAGGAGAAUGGAAUUCCUAGUGUAGCGGUGAAAUGCGUAGAGAUUAGGAGGAACACCAGUGGCGAAGGCGAUUCUCUGGACUGUAACUGACGCUGAGGCUCGAAAGCGUGGGUAGCAAACAGGAUUAGAUACCCGGGUAGU